RNAcentral lists this ribosomal RNA (405 nucleotides) under uncultured bacterium. Its description in RNAcentral is "bacterial SSU rRNA". It matches the Rfam family "Bacterial small subunit ribosomal RNA", at positions 354 to 776 of the family's 1533-position model. The record is from RNAcentral.
GUGGGGAAUAUUGGACAAUGGGGGAAACCCUGAUCCAGCAAUGUCGCGUGAGUGAAGAAGGCCUUAGGGUUGUAAAGCUCUUUCACCCGUGAAGAUGAUGACGGUAGCGGGAGAAGAAGCCCCGGCUAACUCCGUGCCAGCAGCCGCGGUAAUACGGAGGGGGCUAGCGUUGUUCGGAUUUACUGGGCGUAAAGCGCACGUAGGCGGCUUGUCAAGUUAGGCGUGAAAGGCCUGGGCUCAACCCGGGAACUGCGCUUAAGACUGACAGGCUAGAGUCCGGGAGAGGGCAGUGGAAUUCCCAGUGUAGAGGUGAAAUUCGUAGAUAUUGGGAAGAACACCGGUGGCGAAGGCGGCUGCCUGGCACGGUACUGACGCUGAGGUGCGAAAGCGUGGGGAGCAAACAGG